Non-coding RNA from Stegodyphus mimosarum, 73 nucleotides. Lineage: Eukaryota; Metazoa; Arthropoda; Arachnida; Araneae; Eresidae. The record is from Rfam.
GCCUUCGUGGUGUAGUAGUCAGCACGCACGACGUGUAACCGAGAGGUCCGUUGUUCGAUUCCCGGUGAAGGCG